AUUGAACGCUGGCGGCAUGCUUUACACAUGCAAGUCGAACGGUAACAGGCCGCAAGGUGCUGACGAGUGGCGAACGGGUGAGUAAUGCAUCGGAACGUGCCCAGUCGUGGGGGAUAACUACUCGAAAGAGUAGCUAAUACCGCAUACGAUCUAUGGAUGAAAGCGGGGGACCGUAAGGCCUCGCGCGAUUGGAGCGGCCGAUGUCAGAUUAGGUAGUUGGUGGGGUAAAGGCUCACCAGGCCAACGAUCUGUAGCUGGUCCGAGAGGACAACCAGCCACACUGGGACUGAGACACGGCCCAGACUCCUACGGGAGGCAGCAGUGGGGAAUUUUGGACAAAGGGCGCAAGCCUGAUCCAGCAAUGCCGCGUGCAGGAAGAAGGCCUUCGGGUUGUAAACUGCUUUUGUACGGAACGAAACGGCUCUGGUUAAUACCCGGGGCUAAUGACGGUACCGUAAGAAUAAGCACCGGCUAACUACGUG
RNAcentral lists this ribosomal RNA (482 nucleotides) under uncultured bacterium. Its description in RNAcentral is "partial 16S ribosomal RNA". It matches the Rfam family "Bacterial small subunit ribosomal RNA", at positions 30 to 507 of the family's 1533-position model. The record is from RNAcentral.